UACGAAGGGGGCUAGCGUUGCUCGGAUUUACUGGGCGUAAAGGGCGCGUAGGCGGACGAUUUAGUCAGAGGUGAAAGCCCGGGGCUCAACCCCGGAAUUGCCUUUGAUACUGGUCGUCUUGAGUUUGGGAGAGGUAUGCGGAACUCCGAGUGUAGAGGUGAAAUUCGUAGAUAUUCGGAAGAACACCAGUGGCGAAGGCGGCAUACUGGCCCAAUACUGACGCUGAGGCGCGAAAGCGUGGGGAGCAAACAGG
RNAcentral lists this ribosomal RNA (253 nucleotides) under uncultured bacterium. Its description in RNAcentral is "partial 16S ribosomal RNA". It matches the Rfam family "Bacterial small subunit ribosomal RNA", at positions 524 to 776 of the family's 1533-position model. The record is from RNAcentral.